Molecule: long non-coding RNA, 370 nt
Filed under: Salmo trutta (river trout)
Lineage: Eukaryota; Metazoa; Chordata; Actinopteri; Salmoniformes; Salmonidae
Description: lncRNA (ENSSTUG00000045497.1)
Source: RNAcentral
GUACAGGCUGACUGGGUGGAUGGAACUGUACAGGCUGAUGACUGGGUGGAUGGAACUGUACAGGCUGAUGACUGGGUGGAUGGAACUGUACAGGGUGGAUGGAACUGUACAGGGUGGAUGGAACUGUACAGGGUGGAUGACUGGGUGGAUGGAACUGUACAGGCUGAUGACGGUGGAUGGAACUGUACAGGGUGGAUGACUGGGUGGAUGGAACUGUACAGGCGGAUGACGGUGGAUGGAACUGUACAGGCGGAUGACGGUGGAUGGAACUGUACAGGGCGGAUGACUGGGUGGAUGGAACUGUACAGGGUGAUGACUGGGUGGAUGGAACUGUACAGGGUGAUGACUGGGUGGAUGGAACUGUACAGGC